Amblyraja radiata (thorny skate) is the source of this 280-nucleotide long non-coding RNA. RefSeq lists it as uncharacterized. Lineage: Eukaryota; Metazoa; Chordata; Chondrichthyes; Rajiformes; Rajidae. The transcript is spliced from 3 exons. The record is from RefSeq and is a predicted model, not a curated record.
GUGAGGGAACCUCAGCUUGUCCUGUGCUGGGCUCAAAGCCACGUUGCUGCUUCUCUGGAAUUCCACACAAAUUCCUCUGCAGAAGGGAAUCCAUAAGAUGAGGCCCAGGUUUCUCUGCAGCAGUUUGCCAGUUGGUUUGAUGUUCGGUUUCAUUGUUUUCCUGCUUCGACCUGUUUCCAACCAGAAAAUCAGAAACCAGAUUUAUUUCAAGGAAAAUGAAGGCGACAUUGUGUUAAAAGGACCAGACAAUCCUUGGAGUGACAUUCUUGUCUGGGAAUGG